Molecule: ribosomal RNA, 699 nt
Filed under: uncultured bacterium
Lineage: Bacteria
Description: bacterial SSU rRNA
Rfam family: Bacterial small subunit ribosomal RNA
Source: RNAcentral
UAACACGUGAGCAACCUGCCUACUACAACGGGAUAACACAAAGAAAUUUGUGCUAAUACGGUAUAAGACCACGGUACCGAAUGGUACAGGGGUAAAAGCGAUUUAGCGGUAGUAGAUGGGCUCGCGUCCCAUUAGUUAGUUGGUGAGGUAACGGCCCACCAAGACCGCGAUGGGUAGCCGACCUGAGAGGGUGAUCGGCCACACUGGGACUGAGACACGGCCCAGACUCCUACGGGAGGCAGCAGUGGGGAAUAUUGGGCAAUGGAGGAAACUCUUACCCAGCAAUGCCGCGUGAGUGAAGAAGGUCUUCGGAUUGUAAAGCUCUUUGAUUGGGGAUGAAAAAAUGACGGUACCCAAAGAACAAGCCCCGGCUAACUACGUGCCAGCAGCCGCGGUAAUACGUAGGGGGCGAGCGUUGUCCGGAAUGACUGGGCGUAAAGGGUGUGUAGGCGGUUUAUUAAGUUAGAAGUGAAAUACCUAGGGCUUAACCCAGGUGCUGCUUCUAAAACUGAUAGACUUGAGUGCAGUAGAGGAAAGUGGAAUUCCUAGUGUAGCGGUGGAAUGCGUAGAUAUUAGGAGGAACAUCAGUGGCGAAGGCGACUUUCUGGACUGUAACUGACGCUGAGGCACGAAAGUGUGGGGAGCAAACAGGAUUAGAUACCCUGGUAGUCCACGCUGUAAACGAUGAUUACUAGGUGU